RNAcentral lists this ribosomal RNA (681 nucleotides) under Triticum aestivum (bread wheat). RNAcentral describes it as "partial small subunit ribosomal RNA". Lineage: Eukaryota; Viridiplantae; Streptophyta; Magnoliopsida; Poales; Poaceae. The record is from RNAcentral.
AUGGGGUCCACAUGUCAGCAUCAACCUCCUCCUUCUUCAUCCUCUCUCUCUAGCAUUUCCUCGAACACCUCUUAUGCACCUGCGAGCCACCUGCACGGCCCUCCAUUGCCGGCGCUCGCGGUCGUGAUCUACACAGAAUUAACUUUACUCCAGUGCAGUGUGUGUCCCAUGGGGAAGGAGCUGCAAGUCAAGGCGCUCCUGGGGCAGCGCCGGGGGAACUUCGCUGCGACCGGGUCCAAGUGUGCGCUGCGGUUCCCCGCCAAGGCUGACAACGCCAUCUGGGCCGACGCCGAGGACGACCUCGACCCUGCCCCCACCAGCACCCUAGCGAGAGACAUGCUCGAGGAGUUCGAGAAGGAGGUAGGGGCGGCAGCAGCAUCCAAAACCUCGCCGGAUCUGGCAGCGACGGCGGGUUCCUCGCCAGGAGAUGGAGGGGCGGGUGCUCUUCGGCCCCGCGGCGCUGGCGGCUGCCUCACCGGGAAGAUGGAGGGGCAGGCGCUCUUCGAAUCCUGCGGCUCCGGCGGCCAGUGGCUGCCUCGCCGGCCGUAUCGAGCGACGGUGCGGGCUCGAGAGCAGAGGUACGUGACAGCAGGUGGACUUCUUUUUUUCUUGAUUGAGAUUGUGGAUUUAGGGGGAAAAAUAAGCAUAUUUGUUAGACUGACAUGCAGGCCCCACCUGUAA